Molecule: transfer RNA, 67 nt
Filed under: Asiagomphus septimus
Lineage: Eukaryota; Metazoa; Arthropoda; Insecta; Odonata; Aeshnidae
Description: tRNA-Asp
Source: RNAcentral
AAAAAAUUAGUUAAUUUAUAACAUCAGAAUGUCAUUCUGAAAUUAUUGAACAAAUCAAUAUUUUUUG